RNAcentral lists this long non-coding RNA (329 nucleotides) under Aedes aegypti (yellow fever mosquito). RNAcentral describes it as "lncRNA AAEL026489". Lineage: Eukaryota; Metazoa; Arthropoda; Insecta; Diptera; Culicidae. The record is from RNAcentral.
CAAAAAAAGUUGUUGAAUAUUACAUCGAAACUGCUGCAACCAAGUCGUUCCCUCGGUUGUGGAAUAUUACACAGCCCGACGUACUCGAGGGCAAUUGGUGUAAAAAAUGCGACCGAUGUAAUUUUUGCGAUGUAAUAUAUUCCAUGUACACAAUACGAUGUAAUUGAUGCGAUGUAAUAUGAAAACUAUUAAUAGGCCUUCGCAAUGAAACCCAGAGUGAUGAAUACCAGAAGACGCUCGAUCUUGUGUGCUGACUUCCUGAUUAGACUGUGAACCAUUGUGGAAAGUUCGUACUCUGUUGAGCCUAUACAAAAAAAAAAAAAAAAAAA